RNAcentral lists this ribosomal RNA (525 nucleotides) under uncultured bacterium. RNAcentral describes it as "partial 16S ribosomal RNA". It matches the Rfam family "Bacterial small subunit ribosomal RNA", at positions 355 to 874 of the family's 1533-position model. The record is from RNAcentral.
UGGGGAAUUUUGGACAAUGGGCGAAAGCCUGAUCCAGCAAUGCCGCGUGUGUGAAGAAGGCCUUCGGGUUGUAAAGCACUUUUGUCCGGAAAGAAAUCCUUGGCUCUAAUACAGUCGGGGGAUGACGGUACCGGAAGAAUAAGCACCGGCUAACUACGUGCCAGCAGCCGCGGUAAUACGUAGGGUGCAAGCGUUAAUCGGAAUUACUGGGCGUAAAGCGUGCGCAGGCGGUUUGCUAAGACCGAUGUGAAAUCCCCGGGCUCAACCUGGGAACUGCAUUGGUGACUGGCAGGCUAGAGUAUGGCAGAGGGGGGUAGAAUUCCACGUGUAGCAGUGAAAUGCGUAGAGAUGUGGAGGAAUACCGAUGGCGAAGGCAGUCCCCUGGGCCAAUACUGACGCUCAUGCACGAAAGCGUGGGGGAGCAAACAGGAUUAGAUACCCUGGUAGUCCACGCCCUAAACGAUGUCAACUAGUUGUUGGGGAUUCAUUUCCUUAGUAACAGCUAACGCGUGAAGUUGACCGCCU